This 357-nucleotide long non-coding RNA is filed under the name Cairina moschata (Muscovy duck). Its description in RNAcentral is "domestica (muscovy Duck (domestic type)) lncRNA (ENSCMMG00000008154.1)". The record is from RNAcentral. Lineage: Eukaryota; Metazoa; Chordata; Aves; Anseriformes; Anatidae.
GUUUGAGAUCGGUCAGGAUUUGAAGCUGAUAAAGAGAGGCAGAGACUGCACAGAAAGAACAAAACAAACAAACAAACUCCAAAGCCAUUCAGAGGGAUCUCAUCAGGCUGGAGAAAUGGGCUGACAGGAGCCUCAUGAAAUUCAGCAAAGCCUGGGGAAGCAUGGUCUGUUUCUGCCUUGUGAGCAUGAAUCACUACAAUACAGCACAGAUGUGUGAGAACCUGAGCCUCCGGCUAUUGCUUCAGCCUGCUGUUGCUGCUCAUCCUGAAAACACAACAUGCUACUGCAGCCUGUGCUGCCCUAGCAAGGCUGGCUGAGGGAUGAAGAACCCCCUGACAUGCAACAAAGGAAAAACAC